Molecule: long non-coding RNA, 2332 nt
Filed under: Schizosaccharomyces pombe (fission yeast)
Lineage: Eukaryota; Fungi; Ascomycota; Schizosaccharomycetes; Schizosaccharomycetales; Schizosaccharomycetaceae
Source: RNAcentral
AUAGGGAGACUGCGCUUUUUAUAGGCGUUCGCAGAUGGCAUAACAACCGAAAAUCCGUCAAUAGUUGUCCAGGCAAAUCCUGCAGGGACUGAAUAGGACGAAAGGGCUGAGACAUACCAAAGUCCAGCUGUAUCAACGUUUGCAUUGAAAUCAUUGCUUGGGGUAUCAGUUGUGACACUAGAGUCUGCCGUUGUAGCUGCAGAAGAACUUGAUGAAGCGGUAGCGGAAGAAGUAACUGUGGACGAACCUGAUGCUGCAUCUGAAGAUAAUGUUGCUGCGGAUGCGGCGGCAGCAAUUGUAGAAGACGCGGUGCCUUCUACAGAGGAUGUAGAAGAAACAGCUGUCACAGAAGACGUUGGAGAACCGGUUACAGAAGCGGUAGCUAUAGAAGAUGAUAAAGAACCGGUUAUAGAAGCAGUAGCCACAGAAGAUGUUGAAGAAUCAGUUGCAGACGCAGUAGCCACAGAAGAUGUUGAAGAACCGGUUACAGACGCAACAGCUAUAGAAGAUGUUGAAGAAUCAGUUGCAGACGCAGUAGCCACAGAAGAUGUUGAAGAAUCAGUUACAGAAGCGGUAGCCACAGAAGAUGUUGAAGAACCGGUUACAGACGCAGCAGCUAUAGAAGAUGUUGAAGAAUCAGUUGCAGACGCAGUAGCCACAGAAGAUGUUGAAGAACCAGAUACAGAAGCGGUAGCUAUAGAAGAUGUUGAAGAACCAGUUGCAGAAGCAGCUGUUGAAGGGUCAACUUCGCUGCUUGAAGACCAGCUUGAAGCAGAAGAAGAAGAGGUGGGUGUAACAGAAGCAGCUACUGAGCUCGUAAUUGCACUACUUGAUGUUUCAGCAGUCCAGCUAGAAGAUGUUGCGGAAUCUGUCCCUGAACCAACAACCGAAGACGUUUCACUACCAGUUGAAGUUACAGCAGGAGCAACUGAACUGGUAACCGGAAUACUGGUGGAUAAUGAAGUGGUAGAAGACAGGGAUGACGAUACUACUGAGCUGCUCGGACCUUGUGAAGUUAAAGCAGUUGUACUAGUAACCGAGUCUGUAGUAUAAGCAGUAGACGUAACGGAAGAAGUACUCUCUAAAUUAAGGGAAGUAAUAGAGUUACUAUUGACACCUUUGUUCGCAGCCAGACUAGUUGUUGACGAAGAGCUAGUUGUUGAAGAAACAGUUGGAGCAUGAAACGAAGUGUUAUAUUCAUUCGUAGAAGACGUACUGAUGGUCCGGGAUGAGCUAGAGCUCAGGUAUAAGCUCGUAGCAAGGGUCGAAGAGUUGGUAAGUUGACUCUGAGACGAUGCGGUAGCAGAAGGCAAAUUAGAUGAGAUGUUGCUAACUGUAGUAGAGGAAACAAUUGCGCUUGAGCUAGUAAUUGAAGAAAGCAAUGUAUUUGAAGAUGAAGCAGUAAUCAGAGUGCUGGAAUUAACUGACGUAGGAAUAGCACUUGAGCUUGACAUUGCUGUCAACGAAAGUGAAGAAUGAGUUAUGUUAGAAAGGCUUGCCGAGUAAGUGCUCACAAGAGAAGAUGAAGAUGGUAUUGGACUGCUUGAACUAGAAGCAACCGGCGAACUUGAAACAAUUAAAGAGGAAGAUGAUGAUACUAGAGUCGAUGAUGAAGGGAUAACAGAGGAUGAAUAUGUAGAAAGUGAGCUAGAAAUGGGUAUCGUAGAAAUGCUUGAUGAAAGGAUACUAGAGGAUCCAGAAAUUAUAGAACUUGAGGAAAUCAUAAGGGAACUAGUGGACGGAGUUGGAGAGCUCAAAAUUGUAGAUGAAGAAGAGAUUGACGAAGAGAUGCUCGACGGAGAAGACGUUGAAGCGGACGAGAAUGUUGAGGAAGUGCUCGAGGAAGAGAUUGACAAAGAGGUACUCGAUGGCGAAGACGUUGAAGAGCUCAAAAUCGAUGAGACCGACGAAAAUGUUGAGGGAAUACUCGAAGAAGAAAUCCCUGAAGAGAUUGUAGUUAUUGAGGAGCUGAAAUCAGACGAAGAUGAGGUUGGUAUUGAGGAGCUACUAGAUAAAACUGAGGUCAUGGGACUAGAGAUGAUUGAACUCGAAGGUGUUGAACUACUAGUCGAAGGAAUAGCUGAGGAACCAGAAAGCAGCGUGCUCGAAACUUCAGAAACUACCUCUGAACUAGUGGACAAGGUUGAUUGAGGAGAACUCGCUGAGGAUGAAGAUGAAAUUGGAGUCGAUGACUGAGGCUGUACUGAGCUAGAAGAAGGAACGGAAACAGACGAGGAGGCAACAGAAGCUGUGGGCUGUUUAACUGAGGUUGAAAUACUCGAAACCGUAGUGGUUUGAACCCUUGUGGAGGCAGGCUGAGUAACAGUUGAUA